GGCAGUGUAGUGUGAAGGAAGUAGGUCCGCCAUCAGAAGGGAACCUUCUUGUGAACGGUGUUGCGGCUGCGUCAAACCAGAACACGCUGCUUCUCGUCUCAUCUCUUCCACGGUUUAUGCAGACUGGAGACUGAACAUGUGGGGUUGGCCUCAUAAAUGUCAACGUUUGUGCACGUGAAUGGGUACGCUCAGAAGUAAUUGGUUUGGUCUGCAGAAUCACCGGCGGAACAGCAGAGGACAGGAGAAGAGGGUGAGAGAGGAGGAAGAGAGCCGGCGCUUUGCUUCAGCUCAUUAACCAACGCCUGUUAGCUUGGAAAUAAAUUGGGUUUGGAUGUAAUCAGGUCUGGGCGUGAAUAGUAAAAUUCAUCUCAUCUUUGUCUGAUACUUUUUGAAACCCGACAUGUCAGCUGAAGAGGUCAGCAGAGCAAAGAGACGUCGUCAGUGCUAGCUCAAAAUCCAACGAUUCCCACAUACUUUCUGAAGCUCUUCCUCUGAAGAUUUCUGCCAGAAGCAUGACUAGCUGUCAUUUCCAUUCUCGAGCCUGCUGUGCUACAAGGUUGCCCCAUGCAGAUCGCUCAUGUUUGAUAAAAGCAGCGAAAUGUUUCCUCAUCAGAGGAAAUAUAUUACCCGUUCUGCAUCAAACAAAGAGCGAAGGCUGCGUUCCAGGCUCAGUUGAUCUUGAACUGGCCGCCUCUCUUGUCUUUCUGUGUCACCUCUCCUGAGUGACGUGCAGCCUGACUGGACAUGGCACCGUCGUCUGACUGGAACCAAAUGAGCCGUGAGUAAUGGCAGAGGACGCGGAGCCCAUUGGCUAAUUGUCCUGAAUAAUGAGGCUGGUUCUCCUUUCUGAUUGGUGUUGGAGGUGGGAGGUUAGCUCUCGGCACGUCUAUCUGAAGCGAACAGUGCAAUGUCACUAAAACGGAUUUGUCAGAUGACUGCCGGGGUGACAAAAAGUCAAGCAUUCAUUUUCUUUUCCUCGACACGAGGUCUAUGUUGCAGCACUUGAGCCCUUUGUAGCCUGUUCCUUUAAAUCUCUAUAGGACAUGAAACUCCUGAAGCCUACUGAGAUGAACCUGCACAUUGAAUUGUUAAAUGAACUACAUGCUCACAUAAACAAAGUACUAUUUAUGUAUCUUGUCUAAUCUAUCUAAAAUUAAAAGCAGAUCAGAAA
Poecilia reticulata (guppy) is the source of this 1171-nucleotide long non-coding RNA. RefSeq lists it as uncharacterized. NCBI's taxonomy places the organism in Eukaryota, Metazoa, Chordata, Actinopteri, Cyprinodontiformes, Poeciliidae. The record is from RefSeq and is a predicted model, not a curated record.